GGGAGUGUGGUCGAGUGGUCUAAGACGUUGCCCUUAAGAUGCAAUGCAGAAAUGCGCAUGGGUUCGAACCCCAUCGCUCCCA
This is a transfer RNA of Calocera viscosa, 82 nucleotides long. It matches the Rfam family "tRNA". Rfam says of the family: Transfer RNA (tRNA) molecules are approximately 80 nucleotides in length. Their secondary structure includes four short double-helical elements and three loops (D, anti-codon, and T loops). Further hydrogen bonds mediate the characteristic L-shaped molecular structure. tRNAs have two regions of fundamental functional importance: the anti-codon, which is responsible for specific mRNA codon recognition, and the 3' end, to which the tRNAs corresponding amino acid is attached (by aminoacyl-tRNA synthetases). tRNAs cope with the degeneracy of the genetic code in two manners: having more than one tRNA (with a specific anti-codon) for a particular amino acid; and 'wobble' base-pairing, i.e. permitting non-standard base-pairing at the 3rd anti-codon position. The record is from Rfam. NCBI's taxonomy places the organism in Eukaryota, Fungi, Basidiomycota, Dacrymycetes, Dacrymycetales, Dacrymycetaceae.